RNAcentral lists this ribosomal RNA (460 nucleotides) under uncultured bacterium. RNAcentral's name for it is "partial 16S ribosomal RNA". It matches the Rfam family "Bacterial small subunit ribosomal RNA", at positions 338 to 795 of the family's 1533-position model. The record is from RNAcentral.
CCUACGGGUGGCAGCAGUGAGGAAUAUUGGUCAAUGGCCGGAAGGCUGAACCAGCCAUGCCGCGUGAAGGUCAGUGCCCUAAGGGCGUUAAACUUCUUUUGUGCGAGAGCAAUAAUGGUCACGUGUGGCCAGACGAGAGUACCGUAAUAAUUAGCAUCGGCGAACUACGUUCCAGCCGCCGCGGUAAUACGGGGGAUGCAAGAGUUUACCGGAGUUAUUGGGUUUAAAGGGUGCGUAGGCUGUGAGGUAAGUCAGCUGUGAAAUGCCCCCGCUCAACGGGGUGAAGUGCCAUUGAUACUGUCUUGCUGGAAUGCGGAUGCCGUGGGAGGAAUGUGUGGUGUAGCGGUGAAAUGCAUAGAUAUCACACAGAACACCGAUUGCGAAGGCAUCUCACGAAUCCGCGAUUGACGCUGAUGCACGAAAGCGUGGGUAUCAAACAGGAUUAGAUACCCUUGUAGUC